GAAUACAUCAGUUAGGAUUACAAAUUUAAAGGUAACUGGAAGUAACAUUUAUUAUUCACUAAUCACAAUAUUAUGGAAUACAAAGUACGUACCUCAAACACCCCAUGGCCUAGAAACUGUCCAGUCCAACAAAACAACUGUGCUGCCAGCACAACCUAAUUUAAAUUGAUGUUGUAGCGAGUUUAGUGUUUCAAAUCAAAUCUAAGUACAUAGAAAUACUAUUAUCCUUCGAUUCAAGAAAUCAAUAGCUGACACUGUCAAGCAUGCCAGUUUACUUAGCAAGAUAACCAAAGUACAGAAGAGUUUAUCAAUCCUUUAUUAUCUGGAAAUAGCUCCUAGGAAUCUUCCUAACUGUUGCAGCAAGCAGACUUAAAGGCUUGUCAUUUUCUUUUCAAUAACACUUAUACAUAUGAUGGAUAACACGACUCUAUAUAGUUAUGAACAAAAUAACUUUGUUAAAUUUGGGUCAGGCCUAACUCACUCCAAAAGCUAGCUCAAGAGGGAGGAGUGCCUAUAGCCCAUAUAAGGGCACAUUACCCCUUUUUACAACCGAUGUGGGAUUCAACACACCCCUCACACCCAAAAUUUUUACUGGUGCGUGGCAUUUUUAUGGGGCGCCCAACAUCGGAUGGGGAGGCUCUGAAGCCCAUACAAGGGGCACAUUACCCCUUUCCACAACCGAUGUGGGAUUCAACACACCCCUCACGCCCAGAAUUUUUACUGGUGCGUGGCAUAUUUAUGGGGCGCUCAACAUCGGAUGGGGAGGCUCUGAUACCAUGUUAAAUUUGGGCCAGGCCUAACUCACCCCAAAAGCUGGCUCAAGGGGGAGGAGUGCCUAUAGCCCAUAUAAGGGGCACAUUACCCCUUUUCACAACCGAUGUGGGAUUCAACACACCCCUUUCCAAAAAAGUGCCAAAUGUGCCGCCCCAAAGUGGCACCCAAUACGGAGACGUUACCGUGUGCAGGGUUCCUGGGCUAUAUAGGAUUAAAGUAGCGCCUCUACUAACAGUUUAAGUUUUUGGUAGAAUGGUAUGCGCCCUAAUAGUAUCAGAGCCUCCCCAUCCGAUGUUGGGCGCCCCAUAAAUAUGCCACGCACUAGUAAAAAUUCUGGGCGUGAGGGGGUGUGUUGAAUCCCAUAUCGAUUGUGUAAAGGUAAUGUGCCCCUUAUAUGGGCUAUAGGCACUCCUUCCCCUUGAGCUAGCUUUUGGGGUGAGUUAGGCCUUACCCAAAUUUAACAUGGUAUCAGAGCCUCCCCAUCCGAUGUUGGGCACCCCAUAAACCAGUAAAAGUUUUGAGCGUGAGGGAGUGUGUUGAAUCUCACAUCGGUUGUGGAAAGGGGUAAUGUGCCCCUUAUAUGGGCUAUAGGCACUCCUCCCCCUUGAGUUAGCUUGUUAGCUUUUGGAGUGAGUUAGACUUGACCCAAAUUUAACAAACUCAAUUGGCAAAAAAUUCAGAUCUAUUUCAAACAAUUAAAAUGACUUCACUGAUGUUUUCAUUCUACCUUAUUUUUCCAUGUACCAAGUUACCAUGGUGCAUAUUUAAAUCGCAGUGAAAUGAUAGACAAAUUCACAGAAGUUGAAAAUAUUUACAUGGCAUGACAGAGAACAGAUGCUGGGAAUGAUGAAAACUAACAUGUAGACAAAUUCACAAACAUGGUUCAAAUCUCAGGCAAACUUCAGUACUGAACAAUGAUAGGCAAAUUCACGGAGUUGAAAAUAUUUAUGUGGUUUGACAGAGAACAGAUGCUGGUACAGAUGAAAACUAACAUAUAGACAAAGUCACAUAUAUGAUUAAAGCAAUUGAUUAGCCACUCUCAGCUUGUCCAGAAUAAUUUUUAAUUUAAUAAAGGUACUAGUUUCAAACUUUUCCAAUUAACUACAAUGGCAAGCCAAUUUCGUUUCUUGCGUUCCCAAGUGAACAAGACUAAUAUGAAAUUAGAGCUCUUCGAUCCUAUCAAAUUUCCCUAUUUCCAUUGGUUAUAUAUUUUGUGUUUUGUGUUGCGUUGGCUGAGCAGACUGGGGCAGCUCUGCUUCAGCAUCUUAAUUGUUGCAUAAGGCACCUGGUAAAGUUACAAAACCUUAUUUGGUAAUCACCGAAUGCAUUUCCCAACACAGUUAAUCUCUUAUAGCAAUUACCCAGCGAUUUGCUGAUGGUCAAUCCUACAUGAUGAUGAACACCCAAGUUGGAAUAGUCGUCUUCUUCUUCUUCUGUUCUUGCACUCAAGAAAAUGAAAUGCACAAUCUAAUAAACUCGGCUCAAACUAUCACAAAGGUAAAUCAUGACGCAAAGCUCAGAAAUAGGCAUUUAAAAACCAUUAUUGUACACACAGGCAUGUGGUCAAAACCAUUAAUGCCUGCAGCAGCCUUAAAACAAUAUUCAUAGAGGCAGAGGGGCCACUUCACCCUUAUUCUGGAUCUAAAAUAACAAUAGAGAAAUCGAUGACAAAAAACAAUCCCUAGAUUCCACAGCAGAUAAAAAUAAUUAAAAACCAAAAUUUAAUUACUUAAAGAAUGAAAAAAAAAAAAAAAAAAGAAGGGAGAAGCAGGACAUAACAUAUGAGACCAUGACAACCAAAUC
This 2577-nucleotide long non-coding RNA is filed under the name Manihot esculenta (cassava). RNAcentral describes it as "long non-coding RNA (MESC_LNC003551)". Lineage: Eukaryota; Viridiplantae; Streptophyta; Magnoliopsida; Malpighiales; Euphorbiaceae. The record is from RNAcentral.